This 140-nucleotide small RNA is filed under the name Acidobacteriota bacterium. RNAcentral describes it as "Acidobacteria bacterium c-di-AMP sequence". It matches the Rfam family "c-di-AMP riboswitch aptamer (ydaO/yuaA leader)". Rfam says of the family: This family represents a conserved RNA structure found upstream of the ydaO and yuaA genes in Bacillus subtilis and related genes in other bacteria. Lineage: Bacteria; Pseudomonadati; Acidobacteriota. The record is from RNAcentral.
UACUGAAACGGGCCUAAGCUCCGCGCCAUUCGCGGAGCGCGGGGGAACCGAGCACUCGGGGCGAAUUGGCAUCGCGCCAUAGGACACUUCCGAAGUCCGAGCCCGUCAGCUAACCCCGCCGGCGCUUUUCGGGAGCGCGU